RNAcentral lists this ribosomal RNA (492 nucleotides) under uncultured bacterium. RNAcentral's name for it is "partial 16S ribosomal RNA". It matches the Rfam family "Bacterial small subunit ribosomal RNA", at positions 29 to 507 of the family's 1533-position model. The record is from RNAcentral.
AGUGGACGCUGGCGGUAGGCCUAACACAUGCAAGUCGAACGGCAGCACAGUAAGAGCUUGCUCUUACGGGUGGCGAGUGGCGGACGGGUGAGGAAUACAUCGGAAUCUACUUUUUCGUGGGGGAUAACGUAGGGAAACUUACGCUAAUACCGCAUACGACCUACGGGUGAAAGCAGGGGAUCUUCGGACCUUGCGCGAUUGAAUGAGCCGAUGUCGGAUUAGCUAGUUGGCGGGGUAAAGGCCCACCAAGGCGACGAUCCGUAGCUGGUCUGAGAGGAUGAUCAGCCACACUGGAACUGAGACACGGCCCAGACUCCUACGGGAGGCAGCAGUGGGGAAUAUUGGACAAUGGGCGCAAGCCUGAUCCAGCCCUACCGCGUGGGUGAAGAAGGCCUUCGGGUUGUAAAGCCCUUUUGUUGGGAAAGAAAAGCAGCAGGUUAAUACCCCGCUGUUCUGACGGUACCCAACGAAUAAGCACCGGCUAACUCCGUG